RNAcentral lists this long non-coding RNA (2852 nucleotides) under Gallus gallus (chicken). The record is from RNAcentral. Lineage: Eukaryota; Metazoa; Chordata; Aves; Galliformes; Phasianidae.
ACUCCACCGCCUGGCCGGUCUGUCUUUCCUAAAAAGAACAGAGCCAUCCACGACAGCACUCCAGUCGUGCGAGCUGCCCUGCCAGGUCUCCACGAUGGGAACCUAAAUCGUGCUCCUGCAGUUACACGGGAAGGAAGAGGCGGGAAAAAAAAAACCACGGUCCCAACCUGCUCGCUCCCACCGCUGGAAACGGGAUGGGUGAGAGCACCCGCAAAACACUCCGCAGUGGCCGAGGCCACCCCGGGAUCGUGCUCGGUCUCGGGCGGAGGCCCCGUGCCGGUCCUACUAAAAAGCCACACGGGAGCCCAGCGGCGGCGCCGUGCCGAUCCCAAAGACAGAGGCAGUCGAGCAGCAACCCUACAGGAGCCCCAGCACGAGAGAUCUUACCGAGCGACUCUCAAACACUCACCGCUUCCACGAGCUCACUGCUUCGGGCCGAUGAGAGCCUCUGCUGCAGCCCUCGCUCAGCCUGCAACACGAGAAACCUUUUGUUUCAGCAGCCCUUCGCUUCGCUUCCCUCUCCCGGCAGCACCGAGGCUGCACGAAUACGGCCCCAUCGCGUUCGCUCCUACCGAGGAGAGCCUGAAGAACUGAAGCACCCGCUGAAAGAAAUCCCGAGGGUGAGGGGGGCUGAGAGCACCCCGGGGCUGCGCGAGAACUCGGGGGUCUGAGCGGCAGCCGCCUCCAAAAAUGCGACGGCGGCCGGGCGGCGGCGGCGAUGCCGUAUCGGCUCCGCACAGCCGGGGGAGCCCGGCGGCGACCUAACGCCGGCCCCGAGAAGAGCGGGGUCCGACAGCCGCCUGCUCCGGAGAUCCUGGCGGCUCCCGAGCGCUCACCGUCCCCUCACUACUCGAACCGCUCACCUGUUUGGGCUGGUCCUUACCGCGAAAGGUCUCACAGCAGCCUGAAACAAAACGACACCACGAGAACAUUAAAGAGAACCUCAAGGCUCCGUCCCCCCCCCCAAAAAACCCCGCGUACCGCUUCUCAGCCUCAGCAGCGUCAGGGCCCGACAAAGAAACAGAACUCACUCCGUCUCCUAUCCACAACCGCAGAAACUCCCCCGUGGCUCCCAGCAGCCUCCGGAGGAGCUUAAGAGGCUUUGGGGCGGGCCCCGCCCGCGGCUCCCGACGAGGCGCAGCUGCGCCCGGCCGGCCGCGGCCCCGCGGCACCUGGGAGUCGUUGCCUCCUUAGCGCAGCCGGCCUCGUUAGGGACGGCCCGGGGCUCUGACAGUUUGACGUGCGGACUCCGGAUCUGAAUUAGGGACUUAAAUUACACUUUGAAGUACAGUUUGUUACGCGCUUCUCCUUCUCGCCGCACUGUGGGAUUCAUCGAUAAGUUAAGUAAUUGUGCCAAUUCAAACGGGUCGCUUUGCAUCCGACGCGACCGGCGCGAUAGAGCGUCUCCCCUCCGAAGAACGUUCCCGGCCUUAACGGUUUCCAGGGGCCCCCGAUGGGUGCGUCUCCGCUCCGCUUUCCAUUGCCCCAAUUCCGAGCAAAAGAAAAAGGAAAAAAAAUAAAUUAAUUAAUAAGAAAAAUAAGUCUUGUUGGAACAAACGUGCAGACCUUCACUGCUCAGGGGGACUACAAACCAAAGUAAAACUAGGGGCUGGCAAAAACAUGGUGCUCCACAGUCUUAAUUUAAUAAAACCUCCUGAAACAGUGUGAAAUUCAGAAGCCUGUGGUCGGGCUGAAGCGUGGUGUGCUGGCUGGCAGAUGUUUGGAAAGGUGCUAAGAUGUAACUCUUACUGUCCAUAGAAUUUGCUGUUAACCACUUGCAAGAUACAAAGUGACGGCCAGCUGGAUGAAUAGGAGAAUGUAUGUGAACACCCGGAACUGACAGACCCGGGACAGUGCAUGUGGCUUGAAGUGGGCACUGAGAGAAAGCUCAGACAAUGUAUAUACAUGCUUUUAACAUUCAAAUUAAUUUCCAUCGGGACACGACUUAAUUAAGGAGCUGCUGCUGCUGCUGAAGGAAGAAGAAGAAGCAGCGGCGUGGGGACCUGGGAGGCAGGAGCAAGCAAGAAGAGGAAGCGGAAGCGUGCAGAUGUGGGGGGGAAGGAGAGAGGCUCCCUGGGCAAAGCACCUGUCCCGUUAGCAGGGGCACAGUCACGUUUGAGUUGAGAGCUGCCGGCGCCUUUGGUGACCAGGCUGGCGUUGUGCUGGGCGACCUCCCCGUAAGCGGGGCUCGGGUCUUUGCUGUAGUUGGCCUUUUGCCUUGCUGCUCCUUUGGCUGCCUGGGGAGCGUGGCCCCCUGUAACGGAGGGCGAGAGCCACCUCUCCGCACCUGAGUGGGAAAUGGAGCUCGCCGGACCCCGAGGCCACCCUGUAAGCAGGGUAGUGCCGUUUCCCUGCCCCUCUUCCUCCCCCGGCCCCUCGGCAUCGUUGCCUGAUGGUGGCUUGUCAAUGCGACGGCCCCGUACUCGGGGGUGUGUGUCCCAAGCUUCGGAGGCCCUCUGUCCUGAGCAGCCCGCCCGCCCUGUAAUCAGGUGUGGGGAGGCUGCAGCGUUGCAGCCGGCUGCUUUAGCCAUCCAGCUGGUGGGAGUGACCCCUCCCUGUCCCGUCAGAGGGUGCAGGUUGAGGUGCUGUUUGUGUGUGGGGUGACCUCCCCGCUCGGUGGGUCGAGGUAGCUCCCUGGGCUUCCAAAGACGAGACGUUGGUGAUGUUCUGGUGCUGCCGGGCGGGCCAGCCUGUAACUCAGGCGUUGGCGGGAGCCUCGUGCUCCGCGGGGCUUCUUGAAGAGGGUGAGGUGUGGGGGUACCGUCCUGUAGGCAGGGCUGUGUGUGCCCCCCGUGUGUGCUUGGUGAGCUGCGUUCUGAGAGACCCCCUGUACUCAGGUGGGAAUGUGGCCC